This 22-nucleotide microRNA is filed under the name Daphnia pulex (common water flea). Its description in RNAcentral is "dpu-miR-96". Its record names the gene dpu-miR-96. The record is from miRBase by way of RNAcentral. Lineage: Eukaryota; Metazoa; Arthropoda; Branchiopoda; Diplostraca; Daphniidae.
UUUGGCACUGGCACAAUUUUGC